Molecule: ribosomal RNA, 464 nt
Filed under: uncultured Geobacteraceae bacterium
Lineage: Bacteria; Pseudomonadati; Thermodesulfobacteriota; Desulfuromonadia; Geobacterales; Geobacteraceae
Description: partial 16S ribosomal RNA
Rfam family: Bacterial small subunit ribosomal RNA
Source: RNAcentral
CCUACGGGAGGCAGCAGUGGGGAAUUUUGCGCAAUGGGGGCAACCCUGACGCAGCAACGCCGCGUGAGUGAUGAAGGCCUUCGGGUCGUAAAGCUCUGUCAGAGGGGAAGAAAUGCAGGUGGCGAACAACCAUUCUGUUUGACGGUACCCUCAAAGGAAGCACCGGCUAACUCCGUGCCAGCAGCCGCGGUAAUACGGAGGGUGCGAGCGUUGUUCGGAAUUAUUGGGCGUAAAGCGCGUGUAGGCGGUUUGUUAAGGCGGAGGUGAAAGCCCCGGGCUCAACCGGGGAAGUGCAUUGGAUACUGGCAGACUUGAGUACGGGAGAGGAGAGUGGAAUUCCCAGUGUAGGAGUGAAAUCCGUAGAUAUUGGGAGGAACACCGUGGGCGAGGGCGGCUCCCUGGACCGGUUCUGACACUCAUGCGCGAAAGCGUGGGGAGCAAACAGGAUUAGAUACCCUGGUAGU